CGGGAGCCUCUGAGCACCUGAUGGAGCACCUGCCGGAAGUCCCGCUCCUCCCUGGCCCCAGGCCCCCACGGAGUUUCUCAGCUUUGUUGAGAUCUACCUGACCCAGGGACUGAACUCAGAUCUCCUGGACUGGCAGGUCACAUUUUCCUGAUUCUCCAUUUGUCUGCGGAUCACUGUGUAUCAGACAUUGUGAAUGGUGUGUUGCUGAGACUCUGGAUUCUUUCCCUGUGAAAAGUAUUGAGUUGAUUCUAGAAGGCAGUUAAAUUACUGGUGGUUCCUCUUUAAACUGCAGAAACUGUGCUUU
Long non-coding RNA from Cervus elaphus (red deer), 304 nucleotides. RefSeq lists it as uncharacterized. The transcript is spliced from 3 exons. Lineage: Eukaryota; Metazoa; Chordata; Mammalia; Artiodactyla; Cervidae. The record is from RefSeq and is a predicted model, not a curated record.